UCGAGAAUCUUCGGCAAUGGGCGCAAGCCUGACCGAGCGACGCCGCGUGGAGGACGAAGGCCUUCGGGUUGUAAACUCCUGUCGAGGGGGAAGAAGGGGUAACACCUUGACUGAUCCCUGGAGGAAGCACGGGCUAAGUUCGUGCCAGCAGCCGCGGUAAGACGAACCGUGCGAACGUUAUUCGGAAUCACUGGGCUUAAAGCGCGUGUAGGCGGGUCGGCACGUCGGUCGCUGAAAUCCCCCGGCUCAACCGGGGAAGGGGCGCCGAUACGGCCGGCCUGGAGGGACGUAGGGGGGGCUGGAACUUCCGGUGGAGCGGUGAAAUGCGUUGAGAUCGGAAGGAACGCCCGUGGCGAAAGCGAGCCCCUGGACGUCUACUGACGCUGAGACGCGAAAGCCAGGGGAGCGAACGG
RNAcentral lists this ribosomal RNA (413 nucleotides) under uncultured bacterium. RNAcentral describes it as "bacterial SSU rRNA". It matches the Rfam family "Bacterial small subunit ribosomal RNA", at positions 355 to 775 of the family's 1533-position model. The record is from RNAcentral.